RNAcentral lists this unclassified non-coding RNA (253 nucleotides) under uncultured Pseudomonadaceae bacterium. RNAcentral describes it as "contains 16S-23S intergenic spacer region". It matches the Rfam family "Bacterial small subunit ribosomal RNA", at positions 524 to 776 of the family's 1533-position model. The record is from RNAcentral. Lineage: Bacteria; Pseudomonadati; Pseudomonadota; Gammaproteobacteria; Pseudomonadales; Pseudomonadaceae.
UACGGAGGGUGCAAGCGUAAUUCGGAAUUACUGGGCGUAAAGCGCGCGUAGGUGGUUUGUUUAGUUGGAUGUGAAAUCCCCGGGCUCAACCUGGGAACUGCAUCCAAAACUGGUAAGCUAGAGUAUGGUAGAGGGUAGUGGAAUUUACUGUGUAGCGGUGAAAUGCGUAGAUAUUGGAAGGAACACCAGUGGCGAAGGCGACCACCUGGACUGAUACUGACACUGAGGUGCGAAAGCGUGGGGAGCAAACAGG